Molecule: long non-coding RNA, 4632 nt
Filed under: Daucus carota (carrot)
Lineage: Eukaryota; Viridiplantae; Streptophyta; Magnoliopsida; Apiales; Apiaceae
Description: long non-coding RNA (DCAR_LNC001967)
Source: RNAcentral
UGAGCCUUUAAGCAUAUUAAUCAUAAUGCAGUAAAUACAAUUACCACAACUGAACAUAAUAGAACUGAAAGAAGAAACAAAAGUCUAGAACUUGUCACAUCUACAUUUCUAAUGGUGUAAUGCACAGCAUACUCAAGCUACAUUUAAGGUGUCCUGUUCAAUUAUCUGCAUCAUCUUCGGUGUCUUGCAAAAGAACUCCUCUAACUUUUGACCUGGCAGUAAAAGGCUAAAUUUCAGAAUAAGUGAUUCAAUAUAUCAACAUAGACAUCAAAUUUCGUAAAACACGUAUAACCUGCGGUAUGCUGGUACAACGCGAUUAGCAACUUUACUUGGACCCAUUUUCUGGCUUCCAUGCUUGUUUUCAACUGUACCUACAGUAAACCAAAUUUUACAACAUAAAAACCGAAAUUGAGAAAAAAAAAUAUAUUGUUUGCAAGUAUAUACAAGACGUAAUUUUUAUUAUUAAAUGCUGAAAACAUGCCAAGAUUUGUCUGCAGUAUGAUGUUAUUUUUAUUUUUUAAUUACGAAAAAAUGCAAAUAUUUAAAUGUUAAAACAUAAUCAUCAACUUGCAGAAAAUAUCAUAGCUACGAUGUAUUUUUUUACUUCUUUAGUAAAUUAUUAAACAAAUUCUCUUGGUGCUCCUAACUAUACCAGCAAUAUUCAAUCAAAUGCAAACUGAUGUGUAAGUAAUAGCUAACUCGACCUCAUAUGAACCACUUCCACGCAGACCUAGUUCAUCCAAAUUCUAAACCAAUAUACUCCCUCCAUCCCCCUGGAUAGUAUACAUUGGGGGACGGGGAUGCGGCACGGACUUUAAUGCUCCCGUAAAGUGUAGUUGUGCAAUUUAUUUUUAAAAUUUUCUUUUUCUGAAUUAAAGUUUGGAUGUUAAAUUUUUAUUCAGAAAAACAAAUCUCAAAAAUAAGUUACGGAACUAUACUUUAUAAGAGCAUUAAAAUGUGUGUCGAGCAGUUGAAAAGAAACAUAUAUAAUUAAAUGGGACAGAGGGAGUAACAACUUAAAAACUUCCCUCAUUUGUCAGGAAGAAGAAAAAUGAAUUCUAAACAAAAAAAAAUAUCGCUCCACUCAGGUACGCAGGUUUAUCACCAGACACGGUAUUGGUACCGCAAGGGUGCUAACAACUAGGAGUAGAACAGAAUUCAAGGUGACACGAAUUUCAUGUAUUACACAAAGUAUCUUCAUUUCUCUUUUGUCAACCAUAAAUUCAUUCUAAAUAUCCUGAUACGGGGCACAGGGAAUUGGGUCUGAAAAUACUAAAGAGGAGAAAUAACCUACGGAUCCUUUUCAUUUCAUAGAGGGGGCCUAAUACACAGGAAGACUAUUAAGUUGUAAAUUUUAAAUCAAUCGCCUGGCCUCAAUACCAUGUUAACACUACAAAUAAAUUUAAACAUUUACGCUAUUGACAGUUACCAUCAGUGUUGUGAAACACGCAAAAUAAAAAAAAACGCAAGCUCCAAUUUUGAAGCGCAACUCGCGAAGCGCGAUUACUUGCGCGAUUUUUAGACAAAAAUGAAAUUAUCUAUAUAAUUAUAUAAUUCCGAGAAUGUUGCUUCUAAUAUUGGUUUCAAACAAAAUAAUAGUUUCAACAUAGUGGAAAUAUCACAUAAACUAUCAUAUUAUCAAUCAAUAACAUUUAGUAAGUCAAAGGCUUCCGAAUCGUUUAGCUCGAUCUCAGGUCCUUCAAAUUCUUUCUCCUCCUCCUCAUCUUCAUCUAUGAGUUGUGAGGCAGUAGGUUAUAAUUUAUAAAGAUACAAGUAGGGUUUUUUUAACUUAAAGGUAUUUCGGUCCUUCUAUACUUUUGCGAGUUUUUGCGCUUUUUACAGCGAGUUUUUGCGAGUAUCGCGCUUAACUCGCGAUUUUCGGACAAUUUCAAAAUCGCGCUAAAUCGGUCAUACGCAACUCGCUGGAUCUUCGCUUACUCGCGAAGCGCGAUUAAUCGCGAUUCUCACAACACUGGUUACCAUCAUUAAUUCAUUAGUUAAACAUCUUCGGCAGUGAAAAGAGAAAACAUGCUUAACUUGAAUUUCAUUUUGCUUUGUCAAAUUCCAAGCAAUAGCUAAUACGCAUACAAAGACUUUCCAGAUGAAUCUCAUUUUCAUAUAAUAAAUGGAGAUCUUUGCCUAAUGAAUGGCCAACAGCCUACAAAAUAGACACAAAACAGAAUGAUUUGUGCACCUGAAGUACCUAGUAAAGUGUUACCAGACAAAGGUUGUGAGGUUCCGUCCUCUUUCACAUUAUGUGACUUGUGUCUUUUGGAAGACAAAACUGAAUCAAGUUUUGUCUUGAGAUUGUGACUCUUUUCCUGAUAACAUAUGCAUUAAUUCAAUCAUAUACACACAGAGAGAAAAAACACACACCAUAUUUUUAAUCAAGACUUUCUGUUUUGUUUUCAUAUCUUACUGUUUGGAUUUCUGCAUAAUCAGCCAGUGUUUUCAUACAUUAUUCUACCAUAUUUAGAUGCAAUAUUAAGAUAUUAAACUGCUCAAGGUAAGGGCACAAUGUUGAUAUGGAACCCCCAAAAGUGAUAAGAGGUAGAAACCACUGAAACUACAAAUUCCCAGAUCAAUAAUAAUGAGUCACAAUGAAAGCUUGAGAUACAAUCAAAUGGAGUGAAUAAAGUGAUACAAAGAAACUCGCCAAGAGGAAACUUGUAUAUUAUGGAAAUCUAGAUAACUCCCGCAUUUCACAAAUAUAUUUCUUAGGUACAAGACUAAAUAACAUAUUUCAUAAUCCACAAGAAUAUCUUCUACUUUCCAAUUUCCCUUUCCUAACACUCUCUGCCUAAAGUGCAUGUGCGUUCAAGCGUCACCACAGUCAUACAGUUUUAGUGUGAAGAAAUGAGAGGGAAAAUCAUGGUUUUAUUGGAGAAGCAAACAGUGCUGUUGCAUAUGGGGAAGAACAAGUAUGACAUAGAUAAAAAGGAACAAAUGAUAAGACAAGGACGGCUUUUGGAAUAAAUAUGUGACUUUCUUAGACACAGAGCAGGCAAAGUCUUCCCCUUCCAAACUCGAGGCACGUUAAUCCAAUGUCAUGCCAGCCUUCUGGAUAGUUUNACUAGCAACCUUCAUCUAUAAUGACCCCCAAGGAUAAUGAGAUCAUGAGAUAGUGAAGCCGUAGGCUCACUGUUCUAUCUUCAUGAUGACCUUUAGGGAUGAUGACCUCUAUAGAGUCCUCCUUAAGUCUUCAUAAAUCUUCUAAGUAGCGGGAGCUCACUAAUGUGAUGGCCUAUUAGAAUGAUGAGCCCAAGGAACUCAGUCUAGAACAAUCAUUGAGUCCAGAAUCCGCGGCCCAAUCCUCCUCCCUCCGGGCAGGAGAACCGGAUAAUCUUCAUAAAUAGAGGUGGACAGGCCCACCUCCGUGAUCCAUAUAUGACUAUGGGCCUGCCGAGGCCAUGCCGAUUUUUGGGCAUAACAAUAUCAUUUAUUCAAUUUUAGGCAAUGGUUUUGGAGGAUUGGAGGAAGGUGCUCUAACUCCGAUGACCAUCGGUGUUCGUACUUCGUAGUUUCAUCGACCUAGUGUUAUAUACCGAUUAUUUCCCCUGGUGAAAUGUUAUACUCUGAUCAAAGUUCCGUCACGCCUUUAUAAGGGUAGCAAAGUUCUCUAAAUUUGUCCUGUGGUUUCUAAACAACUUGGUCUUUACUUAUCGAGGAAGUUGUACUUUGCCUUAACGUGCAAUUCAACGAAAAGCCACACCAGAUUGCUGGACAUCAAGCACGAAUGUGGACAAAAACUUCACACCAGAUUGCUGGACAUUUGAAAACCUAGGCAGAAGAUCAAGAGGAUGCAGAAUAUGCAUGUUCCGAGUAAAAAAAUUAAUACAAAUAUUUAUAUAGUUUUAUACACAAAUUAACAGAUUGACAGGAAACUUUUAUAAGUAAACCCCAGAUACGAACCACCCUACUAGACCCAACACCAGGUAAAUCGAGUGCCUGUGCACUGGUAGUUGGCCCCAACUUUUGUGAUUUGUGUUGUGUAGUAUUACUAGAUAAUCAUCACAGGUUGUACUUCUUGAGGGCCUGAGAUUGAACUUGGAUUAAGCAAGAACCUGUAAAAUUGCUGAACAAAGAACAUAUAAGUUAUAAACAUCACUUGAGAAAGAUAAAAAGUACAGUACAAUGUACCAAAUGAUACUGAAACUGGAAAAGGAGGAAGAAAAUGUGAAUAUCUCAAUAAGCCUAAUUUAUUCGAAAAUCGGAGAGGAGAUGCCAAAAUUGAUUGCAUCAAAUUGCAUUCCCUUUACGCCAGCUAAAACAUAUUCUUUUUCAUUAAUUAACAUAUAAAACAUAUUCUAAAACAUAGAAGUUGAAAAUGUAUGCAUCCAGUGCACAUUAUGUUAUUAAACAAUAUGCAAAUGCUUUUGAUACAGGAGCAGAAAGUUACAAGUACCUACAUCCCAAAGUAUGAGCCUUUAAGCAUAUUAAUCAUAAUGCAGUAAAUACAAUUACCACAACUGAACAUAAUAGAACUGAAAGAAGAAACAAAAGUCUAGAACUUGUCACAUCUACAUUUCUAAUGGUGUAAUGCACAGCAUACUCAAGCUACAUUUAAGGUGUCCUGUUCAAUUAUCUGCAUCAUCUUCGGUGUCUUGCAAAAGAACUCCUCUAACUUUUGAC